Molecule: ribosomal RNA, 228 nt
Filed under: Triticum aestivum (bread wheat)
Lineage: Eukaryota; Viridiplantae; Streptophyta; Magnoliopsida; Poales; Poaceae
Description: partial small subunit ribosomal RNA
Source: RNAcentral
AACCUCUUGGCGCAUGCCACUGAAUAUUAUAAAAAUCUCUUCGGAAUUGCUCCUGGAAACCUUUGUCAUAUUGAUGGAAAUCUGUGGCCACUUGAGGAAAAAAUUUCUUCUGAAGACAAUGAUGAACUGACUAAACCCUUCUCUAUUGAGGAAAUUAAAAAAGUCCUAUUUGACAUGAAAUCUAAUCGGGCGCCUGGACCUGAUAAUAUCCCGGCCGAGUUUUAUCAA